This 818-nucleotide ribosomal RNA is filed under the name Bacillus subtilis. RNAcentral describes it as "bacterial SSU rRNA". It matches the Rfam family "Bacterial small subunit ribosomal RNA", at positions 18 to 818 of the family's 1533-position model. The record is from RNAcentral. Lineage: Bacteria; Bacillati; Bacillota; Bacilli; Caryophanales; Bacillaceae.
CAUGGCUCAGGACGAACGCUGGCGGCGUGCCUAAUACAUGCAAGUCGAGCGGACAGAUGGGAGCUUGCUCCCUGAUGUUAGCGGCGGACGGGUGAGUAACACGUGGGUAACCUGCCUGUAAGACUGGGAUAACUCCGGGAAACCGGGGCUAAUACCGGAUGGUUGUUUGAACCGCAUGGUUCAAACAUAAAAGGUGGCUUCGGCUACCACUUACAGAUGGACCCGCGGCGCAUUAGCUAGUUGGUGAGGUAAUGGCUCACCAAGGCAACGAUGCGUAGCCGACCUGAGAGGGUGAUCGGCCACACUGGGACUGAGACACGGCCCAGACUCCUACGGGAGGCAGCAGUAGGGAAUCUUCCGCAAUGGACGAAAGUCUGACGGAGCAACGCCGCGUGAGUGAUGAAGGUUUUCGGAUCGUAAAGCUCUGUUGUUAGGGAAGAACAAGUACCGUUCGAAUAGGGCGGUACCUUGACGGUACCUAACCAGAAAGCCACGGCUAACUACGUGCCAGCAGCCGCGGUAAUACGUAGGUGGCAAGCGUUGUCCGGAAUUAUUGGGCGUAAAGGGCUCGCAGGCGGUUUCUUAAGUCUGAUGUGAAAGCCCCCGGCUCAACCGGGGAGGGUCAUUGGAAACUGGGGAACUUGAGUGCAGAAGAGGAGAGUGGAAUUCCACGUGUAGCGGUGAAAUGCGUAGAGAUGUGGAGGAACACCAGUGGCGAAGGCGACUCUCUGGUCUGUAACUGACGCUGAGGAGCGAAAGCGUGGGGAGCGAACAGGAUUAGAUACCCUGGUAGUCCACGCCGUAAACGAUGAGUGCUA